RNAcentral lists this ribosomal RNA (324 nucleotides) under uncultured eukaryote. RNAcentral describes it as "partial 18S ribosomal RNA". It matches the Rfam family "Eukaryotic small subunit ribosomal RNA", at positions 1470 to 1796 of the family's 1831-position model. The record is from RNAcentral.
CCCUUAGAUGUCCUGGGCUGCACGCGCGCUACACUGAUGUGUCCAGUAAGCACCUAACCUCUUCCGAAAGGAACGGGUAACCUUUGCAAAGCACAUCGUGAUGGGGAUAGAUUAUUGCAAUGAUUAGUCUUGAACGAGGAAUUCCUAGUAAGCACAAGUCAUCAGCUUGUGUUGAUUACGUCCCUGCCCUUUGUACACACCGCCCGUCGCUCCUACCGAUUGAAUGUUCCGGUGAGCUCUUCGGACUGCGCGGUCUGCAGUUUCUGCGUUCCGUGCGGAAAGUUGCGCAAACCUUAACAUUUAGAGGAAGGAGAAGUCGUAACA